CUUCAGACCGUACAAAAUGAAGGACGUGGCAAGAAAAAUAUAAAGUCAAUCUCUCACCGCACUCCACGAAGUCUUCAGAUUUUCCAAAUUCAGACUGCAUAACACAGCCUUGCUUCUGCAGAUGGUUAUUGCUAGUAAAGGACAAUAGCGAAGAAAAGUACUCGGCCCAGGCCGAGCGGCAUUGGGAAAACAAUAAUAGUUGAGCAACGACAGCCACCGCGACUGACUGACUGGCAGCUGCCAUUUUUUUUCUGCGGGUCUGCUUCUUUGGGAAGCGCACGAUGAGGCUGGGGUGAGAUGCGCCACGGCCGUGUCCUCUGGAAGAUGUAGUUCUACCAGCUCAGACACCGGUUUGUUCAUUGGAAGGAAGGACUACAUCUCCCGACAGGUAUCGGGUGACGCCUUCUGACGCUUUCACCCAGCUGGAGGGUCACGAUUCCGACGCAUGGGCUGGUAACCCGGCAACGGCGAGGAGCUGGGGUGGUGUGUGUGAGGAGAUGGUCUGGGCCUCGCGUUCGAGUUUGUCGAAAGUGAGCGGCCGUUGGUCGGAAUGGCGGCGUGUUAUCGGUGCGUGGAAUGCAAUGAGGAGGCGCAAGAACUUCACAGGGACUAUAGCCGCGGCGUCAUCAAGAUAACCAUCUGUAAAUCAUGCCAGAAACCAGUUGACAAGUACAUUGAAUAUGACCCAGUGAUCAUACUCAUUGAUGCAAUCUUGUGCAAAGUGCAAGCUUAUAGGCAUAUCAUCCUCAACACUAAAAUUAAUAUUCAUUGGAAGCUGUGCAUAUUCUGCUUGUUGUGUGAAGCAUAUCUUCGAUGGUCACAGCUACAGGACUCACAGCAAGCAGUUGAUCCAACAGAUAUAAUUCGUUAUGCCAAAGAAUGGGAUUUCUACCAGAUGUUUGGAUUAGCUAGUUUGGAACUAGCAGCAUUCCUCAGUGGGACACUUUUCAUUUUGUGGUUAACAAACAAAGAUUUCAUCCAGAAGAAAUCAAACUGCAACACAUUGCUAGUAGCUUUAUUACUAUCUGGCUAUGGGAAACUCCUUGUGAUUCCAGCUGUGAUCUGGGAACAUGACUAUUCACCACUAUACAUUGGCCUCAUCAAGUUCUUUGUGCUUGCAUCAAAUUCCCAAGCUGUCAGAGUAGUGUUGAAUAGCAGCAGGAGAUUUGCAUUGUCUGUCAUUUUUGUUGGAUGGAUUGUGGAGCAAUUAGCAGCCUGCAUCUUUCAACAGCUCCAAUUGACUGCGUAGUGUGUGAGAAAUAUCUAAGAACAUAAAUAUGGGGGAUGAUAAGAACUGGCUUGUCAGCCAUUUGAAUUGCUUCUUCCACAAAACUUUGAUUCCACUGAUACACACUCUCUGCAACGAUCUUGCGAAAGAUUUUAACAGCACAGGUAAUUUUGUAAAAAAGCAAGAACAUGAAAUUUCUUUGUAAUCAUAAAAGCACUCAAACAUAAAUCUCUUUUUGACAAUCAUUUCAAUCCUGUUUAUAUUCAAAAUGAUUCAGUUAUUUUAUGUAUAUCAUGGAAAUAGGCAGAAUUGUUGUCUUGCAUUCUCUGAAGAUAGAAUUCCAAUUCUGAAGAACAACAUAGCUUUUGUACAAAAUAGCAGGCAGAUGUCCCCAUCAACAACUGCAAUGGCAUCUGUUUGGCACUUUUUAGUCCUAAAUAAUAAAUAAGAUUAUGAAUCUUGAAUAUUCUGUUGAUUUUUCUUCCCCCACAGUUCAUGACUAUUUAGUUAGUAGUCAAAUUCACUCCUUCAAAAUACAUUUGACUGAUUUUCCAGUUUUAUUUAGUAAAACAGGAAGUCGUUUGAGAAGAUCAGCUCUUUGCUUGUACAAUCUACACAACAAUGCAUAAGUUUAUUGCAAGCUCAGUUCAAUAACUAUUGAAUGACACUGGUAAAGAGAUUUAAUUUGCUAUGGCACUGAAAUAAUAUUGAUCGCUGGUGCAAGUUUAUUUUUCUUUCUUUGUUCAGAAGUCUUAGUUGCCAAUAAUUGAAGUAGAUGUGAUAUCCAGUCACAUGAUUUUAUUUUUCAGUGAUAACUCUUAAUUUGUUCAUUGUUUGUGGGCAUUGCUGGCAAAGUCUACAUUUAUUGACUUAGUACACUUAAGAUGACAUUAAAACAGCUUGAUUGAACUGUCGCAGUCCUUUUGUGUGAAGGGGAGUUCCAAGAAUUUGACCCAGCAAAAGCAAAGAAAUGGCAGGAUCUUUCUAAGUGAGGUUGGUGGGCAGCUUAGAAGAUGACAUGCAGAUUUGUCCUAUUGACAAGACAAGAUUACAAGCUCCAAGCUCCUGGAUUGUGCUAAUUCCAUCAGCAUGCAUUCAUUGGUAAGCCAACAAUGUCUGCACUGGCUCAGCCAUAUUCAAUGAAUGAUUGCUGUAUGCUCAGACUUUCUUUAUUGUGAAUUGGUCUUUGGAUCACCUUUUUCUUAGCAUGGGUUCUCUGCUGCAUGAACAUCAGUAAGCAACAUCAUAAGACAGUAACUGUUGACACUGACAUCUGGAAGAUGACUCCCUGGAAACCUUCAGUCUGACUGAAAGAUCGGAGUGAAAAUGCUCGGCUAGCUGGUGAAGAGACCCCAAAAAAAAAACUGAAACCAGCAAAUCCAGCUCUUCCUCAUUCUUCAUCUGUCAUACCAGAGUGAGCUCCUGAGCUACAGCAGGUGAUACUUAACAGAGAUGACUAACACUGCAUAAAUCAUUGUCUUGCAAGAUUGAAGACUGGCCCCCUCUCUGAAGCCAGGAAAUGUGAUGCAUGAUACCCAGUCUUGCUCUUGUAGCCAAAGUAUUUCUAUGGUUGGUCCAUUAGAUCCAUUUCCAAUCAAUAAUAGCUCAUAUUUCAGAGAACGAGGCAAAUGUUUAUGGUUUGAGAGGCACUAAUCUCCAUCAAACAUGGCUGACCAGAAACGUCCAAAGCGUCAAAGUGACAGGUCCCACUUUAUUUGUCUCUGUUAUGGGUGCAUCUGUUUUUGGUUGGAUGCCGUCAGCUCCAUUGUGAUUUCAAGCACUUGAGAGUUGACCUCUCAUUGACCAUGGCUGCUUAUCGUAAACCCCUGAUUGGUAAUGGUGUCUGAUAAAUGUCAAAGGGUGAUGAUUAGAUUCUCUCUUUAGAAAUGAUCGUUGCCUGGAAAGUAAAAGCUACUUUUUGUGGAAGUUGGCCAUAAUUUUAAAUAAAAGUGAAAAUUUUAAGUGAAAUAA
Molecule: RNA transcript, 3199 nt
Organism: Stegostoma tigrinum
Lineage: Eukaryota; Metazoa; Chordata; Chondrichthyes; Orectolobiformes; Stegostomatidae
Gene: arv1
Gene name: ARV1 homolog, fatty acid homeostasis modulator
Exons: 6
Source: RefSeq, a predicted model, not a curated record